GGUAACGGCCAUUAAGUAACGGCAGGUAACGGCCUUUACCUUUAUGUAACGGCUGUAAUGGCCUUUACACACCCAAUUUUAAAAAAUCCAUAAUGGUUAUAACGGUGUGAAUAGGCUUAUUUUUCUUUAAAUAAUGGCCAUUAUGUAACAUAACGACCUUUAUUUAAAAACCACACUUUUACCUUCUAUUUAGAAUUUCUAUUCAUAUCAAAUCCUUCAAAAAUAUCACCACUUGACAUUAAUGCCUGAUUUUACUG
Molecule: unclassified non-coding RNA, 257 nt
Filed under: Hevea brasiliensis (rubber tree)
Lineage: Eukaryota; Viridiplantae; Streptophyta; Magnoliopsida; Malpighiales; Euphorbiaceae
Source: RNAcentral